GGCCUGGUGGUGUAGUGGUUACACGUCCUCUUUCAGUAAAGCAGUCCGUCAGUGAUUGUGAGGAAGUUUCUGGUUCGAAUCCGGGUCAGGCCA
Molecule: non-coding RNA, 93 nt
Organism: Mycena leptocephala
Lineage: Eukaryota; Fungi; Basidiomycota; Agaricomycetes; Agaricales; Mycenaceae
Source: the annotation of a GenBank genome assembly